RNAcentral lists this ribosomal RNA (1345 nucleotides) under uncultured bacterium. RNAcentral describes it as "bacterial SSU rRNA". It matches the Rfam family "Bacterial small subunit ribosomal RNA", at positions 28 to 1381 of the family's 1533-position model. The record is from RNAcentral.
GAUGAACGCUAGCGGGAGGCCUAACACAUGCAAGCCGAGCGGUAUUUGUCUUUCGGGACAGAGAGAGCGGCGUACGGGUGCGGAACACGUGUGCAACCUGCCUUUAUCAGGGGGAUAGCCUUUCGAAAGGAAGAUUAAUACCCCAUAAUAUAAUGAGUGGCAUCACUUAUUAUUGAAAACUCCGGUGGAUAGAGAUGGGCACGCGCAAGAUUAGAUAGUUGGUAGGGUAACGGCCUACCAAGUCAGUGAUCUUUAGGGGGCCUGAGAGGGUGAUCCCCCACACUGGUACUGAGACACGGACCAGACUCCUACGGGAGGCAGCAGUGAGGAAUAUUGGACAAUGGGUUAGCGCCUGAUCCAGCCAUCCCGCGUGAAGGAUGACGGCCCUAUGGGUUGUAAACUUCUUUUGUAUAGGGAUAAACCUACUCUCGUGAGAGUAGCUGAAGGUACUAUACGAAUAAGCACCGGCUAACUCCGUGCCAGCAGCCGCGGUAAUACGGAGGGUGCAAGCGUUAUCCGGAUUUAUUGGGUUUAAAGGGUCCGUAGGCGGAUCUGUAAGUCAGUGGUGAAAUCUCAUAGCUUAACUAUGAAACUGCCAUUGAUACUGCAGGUCUUGAGUAAAGUAGAAGUGGCUGGAAUAAGUAGUGUAGCGGUGAAAUGCAUAGAUAUUACUUAGAACACCAAUUGCGAAGGCAGGUCACUAUGUUUUAACUGACGCUGAUGGACGAAAGCGUGGGGAGCGAACAGGAUUAGAUACCCUGGUAGUCCACGCCGUAAACGAUGCUAACUCGUUUUUGGGCUUUCGGGUUCAGAGACUAAGCGAAAGUGAUAAGUUAGCCACCUGGGGAGUACGUUCGCAAGAAUGAAACUCAAAGGAAUUGACGGGGGCCCGCACAAGCGGUGGAUUAUGUGGUUUAAUUCGAUGAUACGCGAGGAACCUUACCAAGGCUUAAAUGGGAAUUGACAGGUUUGGAAACAGACUUUUCUUCGGACAAUUUUCAAGGUGCUGCAUGGUUGUCGUCAGCUCGUGCCGUGAGGUGUUAGGUUAAGUCCUGCAACGAGCGCAACCCCUGUCACUAGUUGCCAUCAUUCAGUUGGGGACUCUAGUGAGACUGCCUACGCAAGUAGAGAGGAAGGUGGGGAUGACGUCAAAUCAUCACGGCCCUUACGCCUUGGGCCACACACGUAAUACAAUGGCCGGUACAGAGGGCAGCUACCAGGUGACUGGAUGCGAAUCUCGAAAGCCGGUCUCAGUUCGGAUUGGAGUCUGCAACUCGACUCUAUGAAGCUGGAAUCGCUAGUAAUCGCGCAUCAGCCAUGGCGCGGUGAAUACGUUCCCGGGCCU